Molecule: transfer RNA, 72 nt
Filed under: Sciara ruficauda
Lineage: Eukaryota; Metazoa; Arthropoda; Insecta; Diptera; Sciaridae
Description: tRNA-Lys
Source: RNAcentral
CAUUAAAUGACUGAAAAGCAAGUACUGGCCUCUUAAGCCACUUUAUAAUAAAUUAGCAAUUAUUUUUAAUGG